CCUACGGGAGGCAGCAGUGGGGGAUAUUGGACAAUGGGGGGAACCCUGAUCCAGCGACGCCGCGUGAGUGAAGAAGUAUCUCGGUAUGUAAAGCUCUAUCAGCAGGGAAGAAGAAAUGACGGUACCUGCGUAAGCAGCCCCGGCUAACUACGGGCCAGCAGCCGCGGUAAUACGUAGGGGGCAAGCGUUAUCCGGAAUUACUGGGUGUAAAGGGAGCGUAGACGGUGAUGUAAGUCUGGAGUGAAAGGCGGGGGCCCAACCCCCGGACUGCUCUGGAAACUAUGUGACUGGAGUGUAGGAGAGGUAAGUGGAAUUCCUAGUGUAGCGGUGAAAUGCGUAGAUAUUAGGAGGAACACCAGUGGCGAAGGCGGCUUACUGGACUGUAACUGACGUUGAGGCUCGAAAGCGUGGGGAGCAAACAGGAUUAGAUACCCCAGUAGUC
Molecule: ribosomal RNA, 442 nt
Filed under: uncultured bacterium
Lineage: Bacteria
Description: partial 16S ribosomal RNA
Rfam family: Bacterial small subunit ribosomal RNA
Source: RNAcentral